GGAUGAUUGCCGCCCACGGCGCACACAAUUGAUUUCGUAUAUACGAGUGCGGUAUUAUUCGUAAACUGCAAUUUUUUUUUAAAAAAAAUCCCGUCCAUGUUUGAAAUUGAAUAUUUUUUUAUUCGAUAAGCCGUCGCGCCGAGUACUAUAGUAUAAGUGCAUAGCACCGUCACUCGUCAUUUUCCGUUCUCUUCGUAUAAUAUCGUUUUAGCUUUUAGCUCGAAAACUAUUU
This is a non-coding RNA of Cinara cedri, 232 nucleotides long. Lineage: Eukaryota; Metazoa; Arthropoda; Insecta; Hemiptera; Aphididae. The record is from the annotation of a GenBank genome assembly.